AAGCCAGACUCCUACGGGAGGCAGCAGUGGGGAAUAUUGCACAAUGGGGGAAACCCUGAUGCAGCGACGCCGCGUGAGCGAAGAAGUACCUCGGUAUGUAAAGCUCUAUCAGCAGGGAAGAAAGUGACAGUACCUGACUAAGAAGCCCCGGCUAACUACGUGCCAGCAGCCGCGGUAAUACGUAGGGGGCAAGCGUUAUCCGGAUUUACUGGGUGUAAAGGGGGCGCAGACGGCGAUGCAAGCCAGGAGUGAAAGCCCGGGGCCCAACCCCGGGACUGCUCUUGGAACUGCGUGGCUGGAGUGCAGGAGGGGCAGGCGGAAUUCCUGGUGUAGCGGUGAAAUGCGUAGAUAUCAGGAGGAACACCGGUGGCGAAGGCGGCCUGCUGGACUGCAACUGACGUUGAGGCCCGAAAGCGUGGGGAGCAAACAGGAUUAGAUACCCGGGUAAA
Molecule: ribosomal RNA, 449 nt
Filed under: uncultured bacterium
Lineage: Bacteria
Description: bacterial SSU rRNA
Rfam family: Bacterial small subunit ribosomal RNA
Source: RNAcentral